RNAcentral lists this ribosomal RNA (301 nucleotides) under uncultured bacterium. RNAcentral's name for it is "partial 16S ribosomal RNA". It matches the Rfam family "Bacterial small subunit ribosomal RNA", at positions 509 to 808 of the family's 1533-position model. The record is from RNAcentral.
CAGCCGCCGCGGGAAUACGAGGGGGCUAGCGUUGUUCGGAAUUACUGGGCGUAAAGCGCACGUAGGCGGCUUUGUAAGUUAGAGGUGAAAGCCCGGAGCUCAACUCCGGAAUUGCCUUUAAGACUGCAGAGCUAGCAGGUGAGAGAGGUGAGUGGAAUUCCGAGUGUAGAGGUGAAAUUCGUAGAUAUCCGGAGGAACACCGAUGGCGAAGGCAACUGCCUGGGCCUGAUCUGACACUGAGGCACGAAAGCGUGGGUAGCAAACAGGAUUAGAUACCCCCGUAGUCCCUGUCUCUUAUACA